GUAGGGAAUAUUGGACAAUGGGGGGAACCCUGAUCCAGCCAUGCCGCGUGGAGGAAGACUGCCCUCUGGGUUGUAAACUCCUUUUAUAUGGGAAGAACCGUCCUCAUUAAUGAGUGACCUGACGGUACCAUAGGAAUAAGCACCGGCUAACUCCGUGCCAGCAGCCGCGGUAAUACGGAGGGUGCAAGCGUUAUCCGGAUUCACUGGGUUUAAAGGGUGCGUAGGCGGAUAAAUAAGUCAGUGGUGAAAUCAACGGGCUCAACCUGUUAACUGCCAUUGAUACUGUGUAUCUUGAAUAUGAGAGAGGUAGGCGGAAUGUUGCAUGUAGCGGUGAAAUGCUUAGAUAUGCUACGGAACACCGAUUGCGAAGGCAGCUUACUAUUUCGUAAUUGACGCUGAGGCACGAAAGCGUGGGUAGCGAACAGGAUUAGAUACCCUUGUAGUCC
This 446-nucleotide ribosomal RNA is filed under the name uncultured bacterium. Its description in RNAcentral is "partial 16S ribosomal RNA". It matches the Rfam family "Bacterial small subunit ribosomal RNA", at positions 354 to 796 of the family's 1533-position model. The record is from RNAcentral.